GGUUAAGCGACUAAGCGUACACGGUGGAUGCCCUGGCAGUCAGAGGCGAUGAAGGACGUGCUAAUCUGCGAUAAGCGUCGGUGAGGUGAUAUGAACCGUUAUAACCGGCGAUUUCCGAAUGGGGAAACCCAGUGUGUUUCGACACACUAUCAUUAACUGAAUCCAUAGGUUAAUGAGGCGAACCGGGGGAACUGAAACAUCUAAGUACCCCGAGGAAAAGAAAUCAACCGAGAUUCCCCCAGUAGCGGCGAGCGAACGGGGAGGAGCCCAGAGCCUGAAUCAGUGUGUGUGUUAGUGGAAGCGUCUGGAAAGGCGUGCGAUACAGGGUGACAGCCCCGUACACAAAAAUGCACAUAUUGUGAGCUCGAUGAGUAGGGCGGGACACGUGGUAUCCUGUCUGAAUAUGGGGGGACCAUCCUCCAAGGCUAAAUACUCCUGACUGACCGAUAGUGAACCAGUACCGUGAGGGAAAGGCGAAAAGAACCCCGGCGAGGGGAGUGAAAAAGAACCUGAAACCGUGUACGUACAAGCAGUGGGAGCCUCUUAAUGGGGUGACUGCGUACCUUUUGUAUAAUGGGUCAGCGACUUAUAUUCUGUAGCAAGGUUAACCGAAUAGGGGAGCCGAAGGGAAACCGAGUCUUAACUGGGCGUUAAGUUGCAGGGUAUAGACCCGAAACCCGGUGAUCUAGCCAUGGGCAGGUUGAAGGUUGGGUAACACUAACUGGAGGACCGAACCGACUAAUGUUGAAAAAUUAGCGGAUGACUUGUGGCUGGGGGUGAAAGGCCAAUCAAACCGGGAGAUAGCUGGUUCUCCCCGAAAGCUAUUUAGGUAGCGCCUCGUGAAUUCAUCUCCGGGGGUAGAGCACUGUUUCGGCAAGGGGGUCAUCCCGACUUACCAACCCGAUGCAAACUGCGAAUACCGGAGAAUGUUAUCACGGGAGACACACGGCGGGUGCUAACGUCCGUCGUGAAGAGGGAAACAACCCAGACCGCCAGCUAAGGUCCCAAAGUCAUGGUUAAGUGGGAAACGAUGUGGGAAGGCCCAGACAGCCAGGAUGUUGGCUUAGAAGCAGCCAUCAUUUAAAGAAAGCGUAAUAGCUCACUGGUCGAGUCGGCCUGCGCGGAAGAUGUAACGGGGCUAAACCAUGCACCGAAGCUGCGGCAGCGACACUAUGUGUUGUUGGGUAGGGGAGCGUUCUGUAAGCCUGUGAAGGUGGCCUGUGAGGGUUGCUGGAGGUAUCAGAAGUGCGAAUGCUGACAUAAGUAACGAUAAAGCGGGUGAAAAGCCCGCUCGCCGGAAGACCAAGGGUUCCUGUCCAACGUUAAUCGGGGCAGGGUGAGUCGACCCCUAAGGCGAGGCCGAAAGGCGUAGUCGAUGGGAAA
RNAcentral lists this ribosomal RNA (1383 nucleotides) under Escherichia coli. RNAcentral's name for it is "partial 23S ribosomal RNA". It matches the Rfam family "Bacterial large subunit ribosomal RNA", at positions 1 to 1425 of the family's 2925-position model. The record is from RNAcentral. Lineage: Bacteria; Pseudomonadati; Pseudomonadota; Gammaproteobacteria; Enterobacterales; Enterobacteriaceae.